GGAGUUAGCCGGUGAUUCUUCUGUGAGUGAUGUCCUUCCUGCCGGCUAUUAACCCGCAGGCCUUCUUCCUCACUGAAAGUGCUUUACAACCCGAAGGCCUUCUUCACACACGCGGCAUGGAUGGAUCAGGGUUGCCCCCAUUGUCCAAUAUUCCCCACUGCUGCCUCCCGUAGGAGUCUGGGCCGUGUCUCAGUCCCAGUGUGGCUGAUCAUCCUCUCAGACCAGCUACGGAUCGUCGCCUUGGUGAGCCGUUACCUCACCAACCAGCUAAUCCGACAUAGGCUCAUCCGAUAGCGCGAGGCCCGAAGGUCCCCCGCUUUCCCCCGUAGGGCGUAUGCGGUAUUAGCCUGGGUUUCCCCAGGUUAUCCCCCACUACCGGGCAGAUUCCUAUGCAUUACUCACCCGUCCGCCGCUCGCCACCAGGGAGCAAGCUCCCCGUGCUGCCGCUCGACUUGCAUGUGUUAGGCCUGCCGCCAGCGUUCAAUCUGAGCCAGAAUCAAACUCUGA
Molecule: ribosomal RNA, 507 nt
Filed under: uncultured bacterium
Lineage: Bacteria
Description: partial 16S ribosomal RNA
Source: RNAcentral